RNAcentral lists this ribosomal RNA (172 nucleotides) under uncultured bacterium. RNAcentral's name for it is "partial 16S ribosomal RNA". It matches the Rfam family "Bacterial small subunit ribosomal RNA", at positions 346 to 509 of the family's 1533-position model. The record is from RNAcentral.
AGGCAGCAGUGGGGAAUAUUGGACAAUGGGGGGAACCCUGAUCCAGCCAUGCCGCGUGUGUGAAGAAGGCCUUUUGGUUGUAAAGCACUUUAAGCGAGGAGGAGGCUACCGAGAUUAAUACUCUUGGAUAGUGGACGUUACUCGCAGAAUAAGCACCGGCUAACUCUGUGCC